UGGGCCUCACUGUUGUCUUAGUCUCAAG
This 28-nucleotide non-coding RNA is filed under the name Rattus norvegicus (Norway rat). The record is from RNAcentral. Lineage: Eukaryota; Metazoa; Chordata; Mammalia; Rodentia; Muridae.